RNAcentral lists this ribosomal RNA (424 nucleotides) under uncultured prokaryote. RNAcentral's name for it is "bacterial SSU rRNA". It matches the Rfam family "Bacterial small subunit ribosomal RNA", at positions 355 to 796 of the family's 1533-position model. The record is from RNAcentral.
UGGGGGAUAUUGGACAAUGGGGGCAACCCUGAUCCAGCCAUGCCGCGUGCGUGAAGAAGGCCCUAGGGUUGUAAAGCGCUUUCGGCGGGGAAGAUGAUGACGGUACCCGCAGAAGAAGCCCCGGCUAACUCCGUGCCAGCAGCCGCGGUAAUACGGAGGGGGCUAGCGUUGUUCGGAAUCACUGGGCGUAAAGGGCGCGUAGGCGGCUUGGACAGUCAGAUGUGAAAGCCCGGGGCUCAACCCCGGAACGGCAUUUGAUACUGCCAGGCUGGAGGACGGAAGAGGAGGGUGGAAUAUCCAGUGUAGAGGUGAAAUUCGUAGAUAUUGGAUGGAACACCGGUGGCGAAAGCGGCUCUCUGGUCCGAACCUGACGCUGAGGCGCGAAAGCGUGGGGAGCAAACAGGAUUAGAUACCCCGGUAGUCC